This 448-nucleotide ribosomal RNA is filed under the name uncultured soil bacterium. Its description in RNAcentral is "bacterial SSU rRNA". It matches the Rfam family "Bacterial small subunit ribosomal RNA", at positions 26 to 472 of the family's 1533-position model. The record is from RNAcentral.
AGGACGAACGCUGGCGGCGUGCUUAACACAUGCAAGUGGGGCGACGAACCAGGCUUCGGCCUGGGGCAAAGCCGCGAACGGGUGAGUAACACGUGGAUAACCUGCCCCGAAGACCGGGACAACCCGGGGAAGCCCGAGCUAAUACCGGAUGUGGUCACCGUCCAUAAGGACGAUGAGCAAAGGAGCUUCGGCCUCCGCUUCGGGAGGGUCCGCGGCCCAUUAGCUUGUUGGUGAGGUAACGGCUCACCAAGGCAACGAUGGGUAGCUGGUCUGAGAGGACGAUCAGCCACACUGGGACUGAGACACGGCCCAGACUCCUACGGGAGGCAGCAGGUGGGAAUCUUGCGCAAUGCGCGAAAGCGUGACGCAGCAACGCGCGUGGUGAAGAAGGCUUUCGGACGUAACGCCCUUGAGCGAGGACGAAGCUCGGUAGCGAAUAGCUGUACGG